This 1323-nucleotide ribosomal RNA is filed under the name Psychrobacter sp. RNAcentral's name for it is "bacterial SSU rRNA". It matches the Rfam family "Bacterial small subunit ribosomal RNA", at positions 72 to 1395 of the family's 1533-position model. Lineage: Bacteria; Pseudomonadati; Pseudomonadota; Gammaproteobacteria; Moraxellales; Moraxellaceae. The record is from RNAcentral.
AGCUUGCUAUCAGGCGUCGAGCGGCGGACGGGUGAGUAAUACUUAGGAAUCUACCUAGUAGUGGGGGAUAGCUCGGGGAAACUCGAAUUAAUACCGCAUACGACCUACGGGAGAAAGGGGGCAACUUGUUGCUCUCGCUAUUAGAUGAGCCUAAGUCGGAUUAGCUAGAUGGUGGGGUAAAGGCCUACCAUGGCGACGAUCUGUAGCUGGUCUGAGAGGAUGAUCAGCCACACCGGGACUGAGACACGGCCCGGACUCCUACGGGAGGCAGCAGUGGGGAAUAUUGGACAAUGGGGGCAACCCUGAUCCAGCCAUGCCGCGUGUGUGAAGAAGGCCUUUUGGUUGUAAAGCACUUUAAGCAGUGAAGAAGACUCCGUGGUUAAUACCCACGGACGAUGACAUUAGCUGCAGAAUAAGCACCGGCUAACUCUGUGCCAGCAGCCGCGGUAAUACAGAGGGUGCAAGCGUUAAUCGGAAUUACUGGGCGUAAAGCGAGCGUAGGUGGCUUGAUAAGUCAGAUGUGAAAUCCCCGGGCUUAACCUGGGAACUGCAUCUGAUACUGUUAGGCUAGAAUAGGUGAGAGGAAGGUAGAAUUCCAGGUGUAGCGGUGAAAUGCGUAGAGAUCUGGAGGAAUACCGAUGGCGAAAGGCAGCCUUCUGGCAUCAUAUUGACACUGAGGUUCGAAAGCGUGGGUAGCAAACAGGAUUAGAUACCCUGGUAGUCCACGCCGUAAACGAUGUCUACUAGUCGUUGGGUCCCUUGAGGACUUAGUGACGCAGCUAACGCAAUAAGUAGACCGCCUGGGGAGUACGGCCGCAAGGUUAAAACUCAAAUGAAUUGACGGGGGCCCGCACAAGCGGUGGAGCAUGUGGUUUAAUUCGAUGCAACGCGAAGAACCUUACCUGGUCUUGACAUAUCUAGAAUCCUGCAGAGAUGCGGGAGUGCCUUCGGGAAUUAGAAUACAGGUGCUGCAUGGCUGUCGUCAGCUCGUGUCGUGAGAUGUUGGGUUAAGUCCCGCAACGAGCGCAACCCUUGUCCUUAGUUACCAGCGGGUUAAGCCGGGAACUCUAAGGAUACUGCCAGUGACAAACUGGAGGAAGGCGGGGACGACGUCAAGUCAUCAUGGCCCUUACGACCAGGGCUACACACGUGCUACAAUGGUAGGUACAGAGGGCAGCUACACAGCGAUGUGAUGCGAAUCUCAAAAAGCCUAUCGUAGUCCAGAUUGGAGUCUGCAACUCGACUCCAUGAAGUAGGAAUCGCUAGUAAUCGCGGAUCAGAAUGCCGCGGUGAAUACGUUCCCGGGCCUUGUACACACCGCCC